This 514-nucleotide ribosomal RNA is filed under the name uncultured bacterium. RNAcentral describes it as "bacterial SSU rRNA". It matches the Rfam family "Bacterial small subunit ribosomal RNA", at positions 25 to 518 of the family's 1533-position model. The record is from RNAcentral.
CAGAACGAACGCUGGCGGCGUGCUUAACACAUGCAAGUCGAACGCGAAAGGGACUUCGGUCCUGAGUAAAGUGGCGCACGGGUGAGUAACGCGUAGAUAACCCUGUCUUCAUGUCUGGAAUAAUACGCCGAAAGGGGUACUAAUACCGGAUAUUCUUGCUUUUCAUAAGUUAUGCAAGCAAAGGUGGCCUCUGCAUAUGCUACUGCAUGAAGAGGGGUCUGCGUACCAUUAGCUAGUAGGUGGGGUAAUGGCCUACCUAGGCGACGAUGGUUAGCGGGUCUGAGAGGAUGAUCCGCCACACUGGCACUGGAACACGGGCCAGACUCCUACGGGAGGCAGCAGUGAGGAAUAUUGCGCAAUGGGGGAAACCCUGACGCAGCGACGCCGCGUGAGUGAGGAAGGCCUUCGGGUCGUAAAGCUCUGUCAAGAGGAAAGAAGUGUACAAUGGCUAAUACCUGUUGUAUUUGACGGUACCUCUAAAGGAAGCACCGGCUAACUCCGUGCCAGCCGCCGC